GGGUCAGUAGGUUGGUCGUGCCACCGGUACGUACUGGUCUCACUGAUUCCUCCUUCCUGAAGAACCGUAAUGCCGUUAAUUUGGUGUUGCGGGGAAACAAGACUGUUACUUUGAAAAAAUUAGAGUGUUUAAAGCAAGCUAACGCUUGAAUACAUUAGCAUGGAAUAAUGAAAUAGGACGAUCGAUCCUAUUUUGUUGGUUUCUAGGAUUGACGUA
This 216-nucleotide ribosomal RNA is filed under the name Glomeromycotina sp. RNAcentral's name for it is "partial small subunit ribosomal RNA". The stretch from base 40 to 216 matches the Rfam family "Eukaryotic small subunit ribosomal RNA", at positions 686 to 864 of the family's 1831-position model. The record is from RNAcentral. Lineage: Eukaryota; Fungi; Glomeromycota.